AUGGCAAAGGACUCAGGAGGACACCCGAGGAAUCACUUGCUUGGAUUGGAAGCUGCCAGAGUGUCAGGUGAACAUCACCCGUAUUCCCCAACGCCGAAGUCCAAGUUACAAAGCCUGGGACAUCGAGGCCUCCCCUCCCAAGCUUGCUCUGGAUCUGGAGGGGCUAGCUCUGAACUAGAGAAGGGCCUGCCACACUCUCCCCGUCCUGUUCCUCUACGCACAGAGCAUGUUUCACUCUUCCGGUGCCUUGGUCAAAAGCAGGGCCCAUCUCAGGACUGUCCAGCAACCCUGAGGUCUGCAGGUCCCACCCUCCUCCAAGCUGCCAGUGUCUGCCUGGGGCCAGGUCACCACCGCCUGCCCGAGAGGGACCCAGAAGGGAGAGCUUGGCCGGGUCCACCACUCACCCUGUGGGCCUCAGAAGCUCCAGAGCCCCAAGUCAGACAGUCUCCUGGGAGCGUGCUGAAUCGGGGUUUGUAACUGAUUGUUUGUUUGUUUUGUUUUUUGUAUUUUGUUUUUUCAGAUGAAGUCUGGCUCUGUCUCCCAGGCCAGAGUACAGUGGCGUGAUCUCAGCUCACUGCAACCUCUGCCUCCCGGGUUCAAGCGAUUCUCCUGCCUCAGCCUCCCGAGUAGCUGGGACUACAGGUGCAUGUCACCACGCCCAGCUAAGUUUUGUAUUUUUAGUAGAGCUGGGGGUUCAUCAUGUUGGCCAGGAUGGUCUCGAUCUCUUGACCUUGUGAUCUACCUGCCUCUGCCUCCCAAAGUGCUGAGAUUACAGGCAUGAGCCACCGCACCAGGCCGUAAUUGUCUUCAUUGUGACUUAAACUUCAAGCUUUUAAUCCCAUGGUCCCUGUAACAGGAUGUCUGUGGCAAGGAUGCUGCCCUCUGCCCCCUACAAACUCUAGAGCACCGUGAGGCCCCCACCUGCUUCCAUGUGAGAGGAGCCGCAGCUGGAGGAGACCAGCUGAGAAACGUCCCAUUUUAGGAUUUUAUGCACCUUUUGAAGUU
RNAcentral lists this long non-coding RNA (1005 nucleotides) under Papio anubis (olive baboon). Its description in RNAcentral is "lncRNA (ENSPANG00000044961.1)". The record is from RNAcentral. Lineage: Eukaryota; Metazoa; Chordata; Mammalia; Primates; Cercopithecidae.